GGAUACGGCCAUACUGCGCAGAAAGCACCGCUUCCCAUCCGAACAGCGAAGUUAAGCUGCGCCAGGCGGUGUUAGUACUGGGGUGGGCGACCACCCGGGAAUCCACCGUGCCGCAUCCU
Acanthamoeba castellanii str. Neff is the source of this 119-nucleotide ribosomal RNA. NCBI's taxonomy places the organism in Eukaryota, Discosea, Longamoebia, Acanthamoebidae. The record is from Rfam.